Molecule: ribosomal RNA, 253 nt
Filed under: uncultured bacterium
Lineage: Bacteria
Description: partial 16S ribosomal RNA
Rfam family: Bacterial small subunit ribosomal RNA
Source: RNAcentral
UACGUAGGUGGCGAGCGUUGUCCGGAUUUACUGGGCGUAAAGUGUGCGCAGGUGGCCGCGCAAGUCGAGUGUGAAAUCCCCGAGCUUAACUUGGGAAUUGCGCUCGAAACUACGUGGCUCGAGUGUGGCAGAGGAAGGUGGAAUUCCACGUGUAGCGGUGAAAUGCGUAGAGAUGUGGAGGAACACCGAUGGCGAAGGCAGCCUUCUGGGCCAACACUGACGCUCAUGCACGAAAGCGUGGGGAGCAAACAGG